UACAAUUUUAAUAUUUACUAAAGUCAUCAAUGAGUAGUUUUCAACUUGUCAAGAAUUGGUCUAUCUAUCAAUUGCUUAUAACAAGAUACCUCUCUCGGUUUUUUGUAUGUAGCUCUUGUUGGGAUUGUAGACAUAUUUAUUUAGAUCAAUUUAGGCAAUAAAAUGAGUAAGAUUUUAGUUUAUGAUUUGAUUAAUCAGUCCAUCGAAUGAUCUAGAUUUUAGUAAGAAUAAGUUUUGUUAAUAACUAAAACUAUAUCUUGGUAAAAAAAAUCUUUGUUUCGUGAAGAGAUACCAAGGUUCAAAGACCCAUAAUGAUAUAUUUAUUAUUUAUUAUUUAUUUUAUAAGUUCAUCUUUUGAUUAGUUAGUCCAUCAAAUGAUCUAGAUUUUAAUAAGAAUAAGUUAUGUUACUAAUUAAAACUAUAUCUUGGUAAAAAAAAUAUUUGUUUCGUGAAGAGAUACUAAGGUUCAAAGAUCUGUAAUAUUAUAUAUAUUAUUUAUUAUUUAUUUUAUGAGGAAAAACACCAAUAAAAAAUAGAGAAAAAACAUGUUUGGAAACAGGAAAAACAAGCAAAAAAACAGAAACAAAAAAAAAAUGCAAAGAGAUUACAGAGUCGAGCCUGGUUAUGGACUUAUGGUCGGUCUGGAGUCCUUUUUUUAUCUCGUUUCCAUUUCUUGUCCUGCUUCGUCUUUGUUCUUUUUCCCGUACGUUGGCAAAUGGCAAUAGGAAGGUGUCACACCGUCUCUUAGGAAGGUGCCACAUCGUCUCUUUUGGACGGUGUAUGUCCGUGAGUUUCCUAUCCCAUUUAUUUUUUUUUUGUUUUUUAUUUCAGGGUAAUGACGUAACUAUAUUUGACAUAGUUAGAUGUAUAGAUAUUUUGUAAAUAAAAACAGGUUAGAACUCGUCGCUAGGAAAAAAAUAAUACGAAUAGAACCCCGACUGGAAUAGAAAAAUAUAUACAAGCAUACUGGAGUGCAAGAAAAAGAGGUGGAAAAAAUCUUAGCAGAAAUUUUGCUUCUUUAUUAUUAUUAGGUAUAGAUUUAUGGUACUCUAGAUAUAAAUAUUUAGAUAUAUUUAUAGUUGACAUGGAAAAAAUAUAGACAUGUCAAACCAGAUUAUAUAAAAAUAUAGACAUGUCAAACAUUUUUUUCAUGUUUCAUAAGUUAUUAAAAUAAAUAUUUAUCCUAAUAUAUACAUGUUUAUUUGAUAUACAUGAUGGAACAUAACAUUAUAUAGUUGUUUUAUUUCAUGAUUAUAGAAGUAUGCAAUUUAGAAAUAUAUAUGUAUCAUACUUUAUGGAUAUUGAUUUAUUUUUUGAACUAAUAUAUAUUGCUAUUUGCAUGUAGAUUUUUUGAUAUUUUUGUUUAUUUUUAUAAUGGCUAAGGUACAUACAAAUAUAACGGUAAUAACUUACUUUAUCUUUCGCAACAACAUAUAUGGAUAUGUUAAAUGACAACUUAGAAUAUCACUUUGCAUUAUCUUUCAUAAUGAUAAACGUGAUUAAUUUAUAAAAUCAUAGGAGGUAUUUUUAAUUAUCUUUGAUAAUGAUAGAAGUAAGUAAUUUAGAUACAAAGUUAGAGAGUUGUUUUUAGAUUAUCUCUUUUAUAAUGACAAAGCUGAAUAGUUUAGACACAAUAUUAGGGUGGUUAUUUUAAAUUAUGUUUCAUAAUAGCCAAGGUGAGUAAUUUAGAUACAAAUUUAGGGGUUACUUUAAAUUAUUUUUUGUAGUGACAAAUGUUAAUAAUAUACAUAUGAAUAUAGGGGGUUAUUUUGAAUUAUCUUUUGUAAUGGUAGAGGUGGGUAACUUACAUGCAAAAUCAGGGGGUUACUUUAUGUGUUUUCGUAAUGGCAGUGAUAGGUAAUUUUUAUUUAACUACAAUACAUCCAGUGGCUAUAAUCGACUAUGAUGACUAGAGUCUGCCAAAUCAAAGGCUAUAAUCCAAUUAGAAUUUUUUCAGCUUAAUUAGUCCAUGAUUGGACUCAAAUAAAACAAAAAUGCUACAAUACCCGUUAAACUUUAACAACCCAAACCAAACACUCCCUAAGUGAACCUGUUGUAGAGAAAAGGUACCAGUCAGAGACAGGCUUCAGAUAAGAUUCUUUGACAAUUAAUAUGUCAGGCUUCUAUAUGUACAAACCUCCACCAUCUGUUCCAAUUGCGACUGAGCAUAAUCGUGAUGAUACUAAUGCAUCUUGUCACUCAACUGCUGGAUAAUAAGAACAAAAAUCCAGAAACUAUUAUACUAAUUCCUACAAUAAUCCAUUUAGGAGUUCUGGUCAGUAGCAACAAUCUUAAUUGCAAGUAUACCUAAAGCAUUUGAAAACAAAUAAAAUAUAUCCCUACAUACAUUCUAUAGAUAGAUCUCGCACAGCUUGCUGGACUUACUUCACAUAAGUUAGUGGCAUAUUACUUUAGAUUAAAAGUUUAGAUUUACUGACCAAAAGGUAAAAACACCAGAACGAGGCAUGAACUCAGAGACAUGAACUCAAAUUUCUAAAUCGUCAGAUGCAAUGACCGCAACCUCGUCCUCCUCGGAGCUGGCGCCUCAUGUGGCCUCCCGAGCCUGCGACGCUGCCGGCGCCACCUCCGAUGCCCGUGCCGCCGCCUCCUCGAGUCCUCGAGCCCGCGCUGCCCCAGCCUCAUGGUGGCUGCGCGACGUGGUGAGGGCGCGGCCAUGGACAAAGACUGCCGCCGCGUCCUCAUAUCCCUCCUUAGAGCUGGCGCCAUGGCCCAUGCGUCGUCCAGACCAUGCGCCCCCGCCGCGGCCUCAACAGAUCAAGACGGAGCAGGGCGUCGGCAGUCUGUGCUCAGCGCUUGCCUCCAUUUUGUGGGGAACAGGCGGAGUAUAGAUGGGGAGGAGGAAGAGGAUGGUGGUGCGGGCAGCCGGAGGGGGUGACUAGCGGGGGGAGCUAGCGGCCGGCGGGGCAGGCAACCAGCAAGGGCGCGUGCGUGUGCGUAGAGGCAGCAGACAGAAGGCUGAGAGGAACUUGAGGAGGUGAAAAGUUUUUUUUUACUGUAGUACUUUUAUUUAUAUUUUGUAAUUAUUGUUUAACUAUGAACUAACUAGGCUCAAAAGAUUCGUCUUACAAAUUACAGACAAACUGUGUAAUUAGUUAUUUUUUUAUCCAUAUUUAAUGUUUUAUUCAUGUGUCGUAAGAUUUGAUGUGAC
RNAcentral lists this long non-coding RNA (3169 nucleotides) under Sorghum bicolor (sorghum). Its description in RNAcentral is "long non-coding RNA (SBIC_LNC015215)". Lineage: Eukaryota; Viridiplantae; Streptophyta; Magnoliopsida; Poales; Poaceae. The record is from RNAcentral.